Molecule: ribosomal RNA, 693 nt
Filed under: Triticum aestivum (bread wheat)
Lineage: Eukaryota; Viridiplantae; Streptophyta; Magnoliopsida; Poales; Poaceae
Description: partial small subunit ribosomal RNA
Source: RNAcentral
AUGACUGUUGCGGGAUUUGACAGGAUCGCCCGGGCCUACCAGUCAGCCACUCGGAAGAGACUUCAUAUAAGGCGCCGGACGGGGGUUUUCCAAACAGUGCGCCCUCAAUCCCCUCUCCCUCUUCCUCGAACUCGCCCGCUGCGCUCGCUUCCACCUCCGCCUCGCUGCUCCUUGCGCGCCUUGCCGGCGAUGAUGGUGAAGGAAAAGACGGCGGCUUUGGAGUGGGCGAAGAAGGUGACGGUGAAGGCGAAGGGGAGAGCGCCUAGUCGGGGCGGAUCUUCGUCGCGGUCUGGCCUGCCGCAAGGCUGGAUUCAGGGAGACUGGAUCCGCUCGACCAUCACCCGGAAGGACCUCAACGACCUGGCCAACGAAGGACUGAUCCCCCAAGGGUCAGCGAGGCUUCCGGGGAAGGAGUGGCAGCCGCAGCCUCAGGACGGUGAGUGCGUCCUCUUAGCCACCCAUGUAGAUCGCGGUUUUUCUCUGCCGCCGAAUCUUUUCUUCCGAGGGUUUCUGAACUUCUUUGGUGCCCAACUCCAUCACUUCACACCCAACUCCAUUGCCUACCUUGCCGCUUUCAUGUCGUUGUGUGAAAACUUCUUGGGUUGCCGGCCACACUGGGGCCUUUUCAAACACAUUUUCACUUGUCGCUCUCAGACGGUGAAAAAGGCUAGCCCGAAUGACGAGAGGACCUAA